Molecule: non-coding RNA, 425 nt
Organism: Vigna umbellata (rice bean)
Lineage: Eukaryota; Viridiplantae; Streptophyta; Magnoliopsida; Fabales; Fabaceae
Source: RefSeq, a predicted model, not a curated record
CAACAACAGUGUACUUUUAUGCAUGAAUACAAUAAUGCCUACUGUAAACCUACCCAGGCGUUUACCACAAGCUCUGGUAAAAUACCAAGCUUUUCUUAUGGAAGGCUUUCACCAUUAUUGAUGCAGGACAGACAGGAGCAAAUUGACAGUAACCACAUUUCCAGCGUUCAUCUUCAGGAGGGUAAGUUGCUUCUUGUUCUCCAAGCCAAAACUCAAGACACGAGCGAAUUUGAUUCGUUAGCCAGUCAUGAUCAUAUGUGAAUUUAUCUUCACCAAGCAAUGAAUGAUCUUUCUGAUACUCAUAUCUGACAUAGAGCACACACAACCAUAGAAUAAGGGCUCAUGUAGUGCAAACAAACUGCUAGUCAUUCUGACUGGCAAAUUUAUUAACAUUAUGAUCUAUAACUAUUUCUUGCCUUUCAAAA